This 158-nucleotide ribosomal RNA is filed under the name Aspergillus fumigatus. RNAcentral's name for it is "5.8S ribosomal RNA". It matches the Rfam family "5.8S ribosomal RNA". From Rfam's summary of the family: 5.8S ribosomal RNA (5.8S rRNA) is a component of the large subunit of the eukaryotic ribosome. The record is from RNAcentral. Lineage: Eukaryota; Fungi; Ascomycota; Eurotiomycetes; Eurotiales; Aspergillaceae.
AACGGAUCUCUUGGUUCCGGCAUCGAUGAAGAACGCAGCGAAAUGCGAUAAGUAAUGUGAAUUGCAGAAUUCAGUGAAUCAUCGAGUCUUUGAACGCACAUUGCGCCCCCUGGUAUUCCGGGGGGCAUGCCUGUCCGAGCGUCAUUGCUGCCCUCAAG